AUUGAACGCUGGCGGCAUGCUUUACACAUGCAAGUCGAACGGCAGCGCGGGCUUCGGCCUGGCGGCGAGUGGCGAACGGGUGAGUAAUACAUCGGAACGUGCCCAGUAGUGGGGGAUAGCUCGGCGAAAGCCGGAUUAAUACCGCAUACGACCUGAGGGUGGAAGCGGGGGAUCUUCGGACCUCGCGCUAUUGGAGCGGCCGAUGGCAGAUUAGCUAGUUGGUGGGGUAAAGGCCUACCAAGGCGACGAUCUGUAGCUGGUCUGAGAGGACGACCAGCCACACUGGGACUGAGACACGGCCCAGACUCCUACGGGAGGCAGCAGUGGGGAAUUUUGGACAAUGGGCGAAAGCCUGAUCCAGCAAUGCCGCGUGUGUGAUGAAGGCCUUCGGGUUGUAAAGCACUUUUGGCGGGAACGAAAAGGACUGUGCCAAUACCACGGUUCGAUGACGGUACCCGCAGAAUAAGCACCGGCUAACUACGUGC
This 485-nucleotide ribosomal RNA is filed under the name uncultured bacterium. RNAcentral's name for it is "partial 16S ribosomal RNA". It matches the Rfam family "Bacterial small subunit ribosomal RNA", at positions 29 to 508 of the family's 1533-position model. The record is from RNAcentral.